ACGCUAGCGAUAGGCUUAACACAUGCAAGUCGAGGGGCAGCGAGGUGUAGCAAUACGUCGUCGGCGGCCGGCGAAUGGGUGAGUAACACGUAUGCAACUUACCUCUUAGUGGUGAAUAACUCGAUGAAAGUCGGACUAAUACACCAUACUCUCCUUAGAUCACAUGAGAAGAGGAGGAAAGAUUAAUCGCUAAGAGAUAGGCCUGCGUUCCAUUAGCUAGUUGGUAAGGUAACGGCUUACCAAGGCAACGAUGGAUAGGGGGACUGAGAGGUUGACCCCCCACAUUGACACUGAGAUACGGGUCAAACUCCUACGAGAGGCAGCAGUGAGGAAUAUUGGUCAAUGGGCGAGAGCCUGAACCAGCCAAGUCGCGUGAAGGAAGACUGCCCGCAAGGGUUGUAAACUUCUUUUGUAUGGGAUUAAAGUCGUCUACGUGUAGGCGUUUGCAGUUACCAUACGAAUAAGCAUCGGCUAACUCCGUGCCAGCAGCCGCGGUAAUACGGAGGAUGCGAGCGUUAUCCGGAAUUAUUGGGUUUAAAGGGUGCGUAGGUUGCAAGGGAAGUCAGGGGUGAAAAGCUAUAGCUCAACUAUGGUCUUGCCUUUGAAACUCUCUAGCUAGAGUGUACUGGGGGUACGUGGAACGUGUGGUGUAGCGGUGAAAUGCAUAGAUAUCACACAGAACUCCGAUUGCGCAGGCAGCGUACUACAUUACAACUGACACUGAAGCACGAAAGCGUGGGUAUCCAACAGGAUUAGAUACCCUGGUAGUCCACGCAGUAAACGAUGAAUACUAGAUCUAUGCGAUAUCACUGUAUGGGUCUAAGCGAAAGCGAUAAGUAUUCCACCUGGGGAGUACGCCCGGCAACGGUGAAACUCAAAGAGAUUGGCGGGGGUCCGCACAA
Molecule: ribosomal RNA, 902 nt
Filed under: uncultured bacterium
Lineage: Bacteria
Description: bacterial SSU rRNA
Rfam family: Bacterial small subunit ribosomal RNA
Source: RNAcentral